Molecule: ribosomal RNA, 507 nt
Filed under: uncultured Pseudomonadota bacterium
Lineage: Bacteria; Pseudomonadati; Pseudomonadota
Description: bacterial SSU rRNA
Rfam family: Bacterial small subunit ribosomal RNA
Source: RNAcentral
AACGAACACUGGCGGCAUGGAUUAGGCAUGCAAGUCGAACGAGAAAGUUCCCUUCGGGGAAUGAGUACAGUGGCGAACGGGUGAGUAACGCGUGGGAAACCUGCCCUUUUGUGGGGGAUAACAGUUCUAACGAGCUGCUAAUACCGCAUUCGACCUUUGGAUCGCAUGGUUCGAAGGUGAAAGGUGGCGACCUCUUCGGAGAGCUGCCGCAGAAGGAUGGUCCCGCGUCCCAUUAGCUUGUUGGUGGGGUAAUGGCCUACCAAGGCGACGAUGGGUAGCCGGCCUGAGAGGGUGUCCGGCCACACUGGGACUGAGAUACGGCCCAGACUCCUACGGGAGGCAGCAGUCGAGAAGCUUCGGCAAUGGGCGAAAGCCUGACCGAGCGAUGCCGCGUGAGCGAAGAAGGCCCUAUGGGUUGUAAAGCUCUGUCAGAUUGGGAAGAAAGCUUCGGGGUUAAUACCCCCGAAGUGUGACGGUACCAUCAGAGGAAGCACCGGCUAACUCCGU